UUUUCAACUGAAAGAGCUGAGAGCCCAGCGACAAAAUACAGCUGAAGCACAGGGUGUUCUUGCUCUUGGGCCAAGCAAUGAAAAUGCCAAGCUGCAUUGGAACUGUGCGGAAAACAGGUGCUGCCAGGGUAAAAAGAAAAAAAGCUCUUAGUGGACACAGGCCCUUAUGCUACGCCAGUCAUAUUGUCUGAGAACUUAGUGGUAAUCCUUCUGAUAACUAAUAAAUAUUGUCUGGACUGAAGUGAUGGCAGACAAACAGCUGGAUAACAGUUAGCUAACUGUGAAGGGCACCGAUAGAGGUCGAGUUUUUCCCUGUAUGAAGACAAAACCAGGUCACACAGCUCUUGUGUGGCAUCAGUCACUACUUGAACAUAGGAGGUCAGAUGGUCCAUGCGCUUGACAUUUGCAGUUGGCAGACACACAUCUGCUGGUCGUUUCUUCCACUCUGAGUACUCCUGGAGCAAGGAAGAGUCAAAGAUGUGCCUGGAUGCCCUCUGCCUGUUUUAGUGCCCGUCUUUUCUCUCCUUCCAGCACCUCCGCCGCCCCUUUUCUGGCCUCCUCCACAGUCAUCAGUAGCCUGCUGAACUGCUCUUCAACAAUAACACAAACCUCCUGCACCGAAGACUAAAAGACCAAAGAGAAAAGUUCAGACAAACACAGUUACAGCAUGCCAUUGUUUCUUAAAUAAAUGUGCCAAAAAUGUGCAACAUAA
Molecule: long non-coding RNA, 712 nt
Organism: Notolabrus celidotus (New Zealand spotty)
Lineage: Eukaryota; Metazoa; Chordata; Actinopteri; Labriformes; Labridae
Exons: 3
Source: RefSeq, a predicted model, not a curated record